Molecule: long non-coding RNA, 292 nt
Filed under: Elaeis guineensis (African oil palm)
Lineage: Eukaryota; Viridiplantae; Streptophyta; Magnoliopsida; Arecales; Arecaceae
Description: long non-coding RNA (EGUI_LNC037972)
Source: RNAcentral
UGGGUUGCUACCUUUGGGCAACAAUGGGAAAGGAUAAGAUACAAUAAAAUAAAGGCUUAAUUGCUUAAAAAAUUCUAUACUUUUUUUUUUCAAUUUUAGCAUAUCCUUUAAAUUUUUUCAAUCAAGUAUGUGUACUUUAUAAGUUGUAAUGUUGGUCUAUCAUCACAUGCCAUCCAAAUUCAUCGUUUAACUAUAGAUGAGAAAAUAAUAUGUUAAUACUAUUAGGAUGUCAUGUCAUACAUGAUGUUAAGCUCUAAAUAUAGAUGGGAAAAUGAGAGAAAUAACAAGAUAG